This 331-nucleotide unclassified non-coding RNA is filed under the name soil metagenome. RNAcentral's name for it is "partial contains 5.8S ribosomal RNA, internal transcribed spacer 2, and large subunit ribosomal RNA". The stretch from base 1 to 120 matches the Rfam family "5.8S ribosomal RNA", at positions 35 to 154 of the family's 154-position model. The record is from RNAcentral.
GAUGAAGAACGUAGCGAAGUGCGAUAAGUAAUGUGAAUUGCAGAAUUCAGUGAAUCAUCGAAUCUUUGAACGCACAUUGCGCCCGCUAGUAUUCUGGCGGGCAUGCCUGUUCGAGCGUCAUUUCAACCAUCAAGCCCCAGGCUUGUGUUGGGGGCCUGCGGCUGCCGCAGCCCCUGAAAAGCAGUGGCGGGCUCGCUGUCAUUCCGAGCGCAGUAGUUACAUCUCGCUCCGGGCGUGGCGGUGGGCACCUGCCGUGAAACACUCCUUCUAAGGUUGACCUCGGAUCAGGUAGGAAUACCCGCUGAACUUAAGCAUAUCAAUAAGCGGAGGA